Molecule: ribosomal RNA, 503 nt
Filed under: uncultured bacterium
Lineage: Bacteria
Description: partial 16S ribosomal RNA
Rfam family: Bacterial small subunit ribosomal RNA
Source: RNAcentral
GAUGAACGCUAGCGGCAGGCCUAACACAUGCAAGUCGAGGGGUAGCAGGAUUAAGCUUGCUUAAUUGCUGACGACCGGCGCACGGGUGCGUAACGCGUAUGCAACCUACCUUAUACUGGGGUAUAGCCCGGAGAAAUUCGGAUUAAUCCCCCAUAGUACUAAUGAAUCGCAUGGUUUAUUAGUUAAAGCAUUGCGGUAUAAGAUGGGCAUGCGUCCUAUUAGCUAGAUGGUGAGGUAACGGCUCACCAUGGCUACGAUAGGUAGGGGGCCUGGGAGGGUGGUCCCCCACACUGGUACUGAGACACGGACAAGACUCCUACGGGAGGCAGCAGUGAGGAAUAUUGGUCAAUGGGCGCAAGCCUGAACCAGCCAUGCCGCGUGCAGGAAGAAUGCCCUAUGGGUUGUAAACUGCUUUUAUUUGGGAAUAAACCUCUUUACGUGUAGAGAGCUGAAGGUACCAAAUGAAUAAGCACCGGCUAACUCCGUGCCAGCCGCCGCUGUAA